UAAAAAAACGGAGGAGCAUAUUGUAAAACCAGAUUCUAUUGUUUUCAUUAACCAUCAACAAUGGCGUAUCUUCUUCCGCCGCCAUUGAUAGCCGAAAUUCUCUCAAGACUACCAGUCAAGUCACUUGUACGCUUUCGCUGCGUUUCAAAACCAUGGAAAUCCAUAAUCGACGGUCCAAAUUUCAACAAACUCCAUCUCAAAAACUCCCUCGAAAACACCACCAAUUUCACAAUAAUCCUCAGAGACUCCAAACUAUAUUUCGUAGACUUUCCCACACUUAAACGAGUCACCGAAAUAACCCACCCACUAAAAUGUGAUCAUUACGGAACUGAAGUUGUGGGUUCUUGUAACGGCCUAAUUUGUUUGUCAAAUGGUGAAGAAUCUGGGUUAGACGGUACCAUUAUCUACAAUCCGGCAACAAAGAAACACCGGGUUUUACCCGUUUCACCCAUAGAAUACCCAGAAGAUGAAUUCUUACCAUAUGCUGAGCGUUUGGUAUACGGGUUUGGGUAUGAUCAUUUUCAUGAUGAUUAUAAACUAGUGAGGAUUAUUCAGUUUUAUGGGUCAGACCCGGAUAAUUAUGAUGAUAGUGAAGUGAAGGUUUAUAGUUUGAAAGCUAAUUCUUGGAAAAGGGUUAAAAACUUUCCUAGGGAGUAUUUCAUUACUUACAAAAGGGCAUGGGGGGUUCAUGUCAAUGGGUGUUUGCAUUGGAUGGUUACUAAGAAUCCGGAAUCGAAUGGUUCGAGAUUUAUCGUUGCGUUCGAUUUAGGUUCCGAGAGGUGUAAGGUUGUGCCCAAGCCAAGGGAAUUGUGUGGGGAGUGUCCUACCAAUGUGGAAGUUUUGCAAGGGAGGUUGGGUUUGUUGUGCAAUUAUUAUUCGAUUCGGACCGAUUUUUGGACCAUGGAGCAGUAUGGUGUGGAGAGUUCUUGGACUAAAUUGUAUUCUAUUGCACAAAGGACCAUUUUAGGUGUUUUUGAGUAUGUUAGACCUAUAGCUUGUUCUAAGGAUGGUUCAUGUGUGUUGCUUCAUAAAGACAUGAAUAGUAUGUUUUGGUUCGAUUUGCGGACUCAACGUGCCAAGAGAGUGAAUAUUCGUGGUAUGCCAAAGUCGUUCGAGGCAAUGAUGCUUGUUGAGAGUCUUGUUCCUCUUGAUGGUAGUAAGAAAAAGAAGAACAAGCCUAAAAAGAAGAGAAUUGAGCAUUCAGAGCAAGCUGAUAGUAGGAUAGCAACGCUUCCAUUGCUUUUACUUCAAGAUAUAUUCUCUCGUCUUCCUGCUGAUACUCUUUUGAAACUUACCUAUGUUUGCAAACCAUGGAAUCAUAUUGUCCAUGACCCUGAGUUUGCUAAAAUGCAUCUCAAAUUUUCUGGAAGAAGCAACGAUAACCUGUAUUUCAUUCUUAGAGAGCAUGGGCUACAUGUAAUUAAAUUCAACCUGCUAAACAAAGCAGUAGAGAUCAAGCAUCCUCUUGUGUGCCCUGAAGGAUGGACUGAUAUUUUAGGAUCAUGCAAUGGUCUUCUCUGCUUAUAUAACCAAGAUAAAGACCUUGCUAUCUGGAACCCGCUGACAGGAAGGUGUCACAAAUUACCUAUUACAAACUUCCAGUCUCCAAAGGAUUUUGAUGGCUUCCACCAUUUUAUCCAUGGAUUUGGCUUUGAUCCUAAAAGUGAUGAUUACAAAGUUGUCCGGGUUUUACAGUUUUACUGGUACUACCUUCCAAGUCAUGGCUGUUUAUAUAAUGAGUUUUCUGAUUCUGAAGAUGAUACCUUCGCUGGCUCUGAAGUUCAGGUUUACAGUUUGAAAACCAAAAGUUGGAGAAGGAUCGAAUGUUUCCCUUUCAUCUUAUGCUAUCCUUGCUCUGGGGUCCUUGCAAAUGGAGCAUUACAUUGGGUUGCACGGAAAAGACAUAAUGUGGAUUCUACUUCUUAUAUCAUUCUGGCUUUUGAUCUUAGGUCAGAGAAAUGCAGAGUAGUGCCACAACCUAAUUACGAUGACAUAAAUUUCCACAUGAGUUUAUUUCUUUUAGGUGGUUCUCUUUGCAUACUUUGCCAUUAUCCUAGACAUGGUGUCGAUAUAUGGGUGAUGAAGAAUUACGAGCUGCAAUCUUGGUGUAGACUGAUUUCCAUUACUCAGCCGAAACCCAUUGAGUUUUUCGAAUAUAUUAAGCCAUUGGCUUUGUCGAAGAAUGGUAGUGAAGUCCUUUUGGAACUAGACUAUUCAAAGCUUGUCUGGUAUAACUUGAAAAAGAAGACACUCAGGCAUGUCAACAUCAAUGGUCUUCCAAAAUCCUUCGGUACAGAGCUAUUUUCUAUAAGUCUUCUUGAUCCUGGCAAUUUGAUUCCAAGGGAAAAGAAACAAUCACAUCAUAAUGGCCCGGAGGUUACUAGGUUGCAACUUCAAGUGACUAGAAAUUGUACGAGUAGCUCGUUGCUCAUUCUUAGAGGGGAGAAGCUUCUCUCUUUAGAUUUUCAGCGGCUUGAUAAAGUUGUCGAAAUUGAUUACCAAUCCUUCUCUUUUAAAGGAUCGCCUGAUAUAGUCGGGUCUUCAAAUGGGUUUGUCUGCUUGUACAAGGACAGGGAGUUUGUUUUAUGGAACCCAUGGACUAGCAAAUAUGAUAGGCUACCUAAUUGUCAGUUAAAUGCUUCAGGUUCCUCACAUUAUUGCUCCAUUCAUGGAUUUGGCUAUGAUCCUGAUAAGAAUGACUACAAAGUAGUUACUAUUCUGGAGCAUCACAAAAGCCUAAGAGUUGGUAGUGUUCACUCCGAAGUUCAGGUUUAUAGCAUGAAAAUUAAAUCUUGGGGAAAGAUUCAAAAGUUUCCUUAUGUUGUUUGUUAUCCAAGUUCAGGUGUUCUUGCAAGUGGCGGAUUGCAUUGGUUGGCACGUCCAAAUCCCGAAUUGUAUAGUAGCUCGAAUUUGCUUAUAGCUUUUGAUCUUGGAUCUGAGAAAUGCAGGGUGGUGACAGGGUGGUGACACAGCCAAACUAUGUUGAUACAGAUUUUCAAAUGAGUUUGGGUCUAUUAAGUGGUUGUCUUUGCUUGCUUUGUCAUUACCCUAAGCAGAAUGUUGAUUUCUGGGUGAUGACUGAUUAUGGAACAGAGUCAUGGACAAAACUUUUUUCCAUCUCACAGAAGUUAAUCAAGCAGUUUGAAUACUUGAAGCCAUUGGGAUAUUCAGAUGAUGGAACUGAAGUUCUUUUGGAACAAGAUAAUGAAAGGCUUCUUUGGUACAACUUAGUGAGAAAGACGGUCAGAUACCUUAACGUCCAUGGUCUACCCAAGUCUUUUGAGACUGUGAUGUCUUCGGCAAGUGUAGCUGACGCUGGUAAUCUGCCAAAGACUUAUCAUGAGAUCCAUGAACAAGCACCAAACACAUCUCAGAAUAGCAGGGAUAAUUUGAGGGGAGAUUUGGAUGGUUUUCUAGCAAAGGGAUUUAAGCUAAAGCUUUGAUGGAGGACACAAGAAAAUGGGUAAAAACUGAUACCAAGGUUGCUGCUCAAAGAGUCCAGAAAAGCCUUUUUCUUAUGUUGCUGCUCAAAGAGUCCAGAAAAGCUUUUUGAGGAACUGGAAAGAUCUCUCGUGAAACAGGCCAAGUUCUUUGUCUCUUUAAUUUUUUUUAUCUUUGCGAAGGCUUUGAACAAAGAUUUACUUAACUAAAGGUAGGUUUGCCGUUGAUAUUUUGCAUUUAUCUGUUCAUAACUUCUAUUAUACAAUAUUAGUGAAUGUGUUCUUAUGCCA
RNA transcript from Beta vulgaris subsp. vulgaris (sugar beet), 3731 nucleotides. RefSeq lists it as hypothetical. The record is from RefSeq and is a predicted model, not a curated record. The transcript is spliced from 4 exons. Lineage: Eukaryota; Viridiplantae; Streptophyta; Magnoliopsida; Caryophyllales; Amaranthaceae.